Molecule: ribosomal RNA, 295 nt
Filed under: Escherichia coli
Lineage: Bacteria; Pseudomonadati; Pseudomonadota; Gammaproteobacteria; Enterobacterales; Enterobacteriaceae
Description: partial 23S ribosomal RNA
Rfam family: Bacterial large subunit ribosomal RNA
Source: RNAcentral
GUCGAGUCGGCCUGCGCGGAAGAUGUAACGGGGCUAAACCAUGCACCGAAGCUGCGGCAGCGACGCUUAUGCGUUGUUGGGUAGGGGAGCGUUCUGUAAGCCUGCGAAGGUGUACUGUGAGGUAUGCUGGAGGUAUCAGAAGUGCGAAUGCUGACAUAAGUAACGAUAAAGCGGGUGAAAAACCCGCUCGCCGGAAGACCAAGGGUUCCUGUCCAACGUUAAUCGGGGCAGGGUGAGUCGACCCCUAAGGCGAGGCCGAAAGGCGUAGUCGAUGGGAAACAGGUUAAUAUUCCUG